RNAcentral lists this unclassified non-coding RNA (339 nucleotides) under Hevea brasiliensis (rubber tree). The record is from RNAcentral. Lineage: Eukaryota; Viridiplantae; Streptophyta; Magnoliopsida; Malpighiales; Euphorbiaceae.
GCCUAAUUCCGUGGAGUACUUUAUCGCCUUAGCGUCGCCUUCGCCUUAAUAACACUGGGCGACUCUCAGGUUCCCGAGAGUCCUCCCCUGCGUUGCGCUUAUCGCUACUGGUUUUGAUGGGCAACGACGAAGAUGCUUUGGCGAUGGCGGAAUUAGCUACUGAUGAAGAUGGUCCAAAUACACAGCCCGCCAGUGCCCAACUCUUUGAAAAGCUCGAGGUGAUCAGAAUCGAAGAAUCGGGUUUGGUGUGCUCGAUUUGGUUGGGCCAAUUGUCGAUCGAGUCGGAAGCUAGGCGGUUGCCGUGUUCUCGUGUCUACCAUGGCAACUGCAUCAUGGAGC